GCUUCGAUAGCUCAGUGGUAAGUUCUCACACCGAACCAGAAAAAAAAAAGAAUUAAGCUCUAGUUCCAUUCCUAACAACCCACACAGGUAGAGCGUAGGAUUGCAGAUCCCGAGGUCACGCGUUCGACUCGCGUUCGGAGCU
Molecule: transfer RNA, 142 nt
Filed under: Eutypa lata UCREL1
Lineage: Eukaryota; Fungi; Ascomycota; Sordariomycetes; Xylariales; Diatrypaceae
Description: tRNA-Cys (GCA) (tRNA-Cys-GCA-2-1)
Source: RNAcentral